CACACAGGAGGCUCAGUCUGGCCCUGGGAACCGGAGACAGUAAAUACCAAGGACGGAGGCCGGGAGUUCAGGCAGACGGGCGGCUGGAGGGGAAGCGGAGGCCGAGCUGCGGAGGCUCUUGCCAAGCGCUCUUCUCUGGGGCUCUCUCGCACCCAGAACAGGCCGGCCGGGGCCGCACAAGUAGGAGAGGCUACAGAGGGGGCUCAGACAGGCAAUGACCAUCGGCUCACGGGAGGACAGACGAGGACGCCGUCCUCAAACCAAGCCCUGCCAGGGGCCACCCGCGGGCUUCCCCCGCUCAGCGCCCACAGAGGGCAGCGAGAGCGUCUACAGGGCCGGAAGGCAGCACAGGUCAGGCAAUGGCUCGCCGCACCCAGGAGGCUCCGGGUGUGUCGUGUCCAGGCAGGAGCUCCCCUCCCCCCAGGAGAAGCCUUCGCCGUCCUGCUCGCCUGUGCCUUGGAUCGAGCCCUCGGUGAACUCCAGCGUUUGUCCCGGGGGGCUGGCCGGAGCUCGAGCGCCCGUCCAUGGGCUUCUGCCUCUCACGAUCCCUGGCUCCGCCCACAGGCCCCCUCUGCGAACCUCCUUGACCCCCCCAACCACCUCAUGAGUGGUGCUCAGUGGAGCGCCCAGCUCGAGGCCCCCCAAACCUGGGCACUUGGAGGCAGGGACCGUGGCGGCCAUUCUGGGGUGCGCCAGGACCGAGCGUUGGGGGUUGUUGGGGGAAUCACAGACACAUCUGACGAAGCUCAAAGGCACAAACAAAGGAAGCCGGGAUGGAUGACCCCAAAGGCUUCACGCCUCGGUGCCUGCCCUGCUCUGCCAGUGGGGAGAGACGGGGCCGCCGCCCCAGAAGCCCCGACAUCCAUCAAGUCACAGACGCAGACCGAACCGUACAGGGAGGGAGCCAAGGGCAGGAUCUCUGCUUCCAGAGGUCUGGGGAGCUCCCGGACUAAGAAAGUCCCUCUGCCACUCCCUGUACUUCCUUCCUUCUUUAUCUUUAACAACUUCCAGCAUUAG
RNAcentral lists this long non-coding RNA (1017 nucleotides) under Monodelphis domestica (gray short-tailed opossum). Its description in RNAcentral is "lncRNA (ENSMODG00000029336.1)". Lineage: Eukaryota; Metazoa; Chordata; Mammalia; Didelphimorphia; Didelphidae. The record is from RNAcentral.